Parelaphostrongylus tenuis is the source of this 76-nucleotide non-coding RNA. The record is from the annotation of a GenBank genome assembly. NCBI's taxonomy places the organism in Eukaryota, Metazoa, Nematoda, Chromadorea, Rhabditida, Metastrongylidae.
GCUUCGGUGGUGUGAGUGGUUAGAGUACGCCGUCCCUGGAUAGGAUGAAAAGCGGGUUCGAUUUCCGCCCGAGGCC